AGCUCAAAUGGAUGAGCAUCGGCCUUCUAAGCCGUGGGUCGCAGGUUCGAGUCCUGCCGGGG
This 62-nucleotide transfer RNA is filed under the name Pseudomonadota bacterium. RNAcentral's name for it is "Proteobacteria bacterium (marine metagenome) tRNA-Arg". It matches the Rfam family "tRNA", at positions 9 to 63 of the family's 71-position model. From Rfam's summary of the family: Transfer RNA (tRNA) molecules are approximately 80 nucleotides in length. Their secondary structure includes four short double-helical elements and three loops (D, anti-codon, and T loops). The record is from RNAcentral. Lineage: Bacteria; Pseudomonadati; Pseudomonadota.